This 344-nucleotide ribosomal RNA is filed under the name uncultured bacterium. RNAcentral describes it as "bacterial SSU rRNA". It matches the Rfam family "Bacterial small subunit ribosomal RNA", at positions 28 to 376 of the family's 1533-position model. The record is from RNAcentral.
GACGAACGCUGGCGGCGUGCUUAACACAUGCAAGUCGAACGGUAAGGCCCUUCGGGGUACACGAGUGGCGAACGGGUGAGUAACACGUGGGUGAUCUGCCCUGCACUUUGGGAUAAGCCUGGGAAACUGGGUCUAAUACCGAAUAGGACCAUGGACUUCACGGUUUGUGGUGGAAAGCUUUUGCGGUGUGGGAUGGGCCCGCGGCCUAUCAGCUUGUUGGUGGGGUAAUGGCCUACCAAGGCGACGACGGGUAGCCGGCCUGAGAGGGUGACCGGCCACACUGGGACCGAGAUACGGCCCAGACUCCUACGGGAGGCAGCAGUGGGGAAUAUUGCACAAUGGGC